Long non-coding RNA from Zonotrichia leucophrys gambelii, 417 nucleotides. RefSeq lists it as uncharacterized. Lineage: Eukaryota; Metazoa; Chordata; Aves; Passeriformes; Passerellidae. The transcript has 4 exons. The record is from RefSeq and is a predicted model, not a curated record.
GUGGCACCCACAUGUGCUGUCCUGAACAUCCUUGUGUGAGGGGCCUGGGAUCACUGCCACUCUGCUAUCUUCUUCUUUGGCCUUUGUUAGAGCUCUUCAUUCCAAAUGCAGCUUCUGCACACUCCCUGAGUGUAAAAAUUGUUGAGCUGAAAGAGGCCUCAAGACAGAGUUGGGGACAGGAAGAUGUAGGCAGAAAAAGUUUUGAGAAAAGCUGCCAGUAAAUUUAUGCCCAGCAAAAGAAUGCAGAACUUGAAGAUACAAAUGAAGGCCCGGUCAUGGCAGAGGAAUCUGGCAGUCAGGCAGCAAUUGGCCAUGGAGCACCAAAAUUAGAGGUUCUCCACAGGCACUUCAGUCUACUCCACUGCUAAAUGUGUGUAUUAACAGCUACAACAGAGCAAGGAAAGACUACAGGUAUUA